CGCUAGCGGCAGGCUUAACACAUGCAAGUCGAGGGGUAACAUUGUAGCUUGCUACAGAUGACGACCGGCGCACGGGUGCGUAACGCGUAUAGAACCUACCUUUUACAGGGGAAUAGCCCAGAGAAAUUUGGAUUAAUGCCCCAUAGUAUUGUUGAAUGGCAUCGUUUAACAAUUAAACAUUUAUGGGUAAAAGAUGGCUAUGCGUUCUAUUAGCUAGAUGGUAAGGUAACGGCUUACCAUGGCGACGAUAGAUAGGGGUCCUGAGAGGGAGAUCCCCCACACUGGUACUGAGACACGGACCAGACUCCUACGGGAGGCAGCAGUGAGGAAUAUUGGACAAUGGAGGCAACUCUGAUCCAGCCAUGCCGCGUGCAGGAAGACGGCCCUAUGGGUUGUAAACUGCUUUUAUAUAGGAAGAAACCUUUCCACGUGUGGAAAGUUGACGGUACUGUAAGAAUAAGGAUCGGCUAACUCCGUGCCAGCAGCCGCGGUAAUACGGAGGAUCCAAGCGUUAUCCGGAAUCAUUGGGUUUAAAGGGUCCGUAGGUGGAUAAUUAAGUCAGGGGUGAAAGUUUGGCGGCUCAACCGUAAAAUUGCCUUUGAUACUGGUUAUCUUGAGUUAUUGUGAAGUAGUUAGAAUAUGUAGUGUAGCGGUGAAAUGCAUAGAUAUUACAUAGAAUACCAAUUGCGAAGGCAGAUUACUAACAAUAUACUGACACUGAUGGACGAAAGCGUGGGUAGCGAACAGGAUUAGAUACCCUGGUAGUCCACGCCGUAAACGAUGGAUACUAGCUGUUGGGCUUCGGCUCAGUGGCUAAGCGAAAGUGAUAAGUAUCCCACCUGGGGAGUACGUUCGCAAGAAUGAAACUCAAAGGAAUUGACGGGGGCCCGCACAAGCGGUGGAGCAUGUGGUUUAAUUCGAUGAUACGCGAGGAACCUUACCAGGGCUUAAAUGUAGAUUGACAGGUUUAGAGAUAGACUUUUCUUCGGACAAUUUACAAGGUGCUGCAUGGUUGUCGUCAGCUCGUGCCGUGAGGUGUCAGGUUAAGUCCUAUAACGAGCGCAACCCCUGUUGUUAGUUGCCAGCGAGUCAUGUCGGGAACUCUAACAAGACUGCCAGUGCAAACUGUGAGGAAGGUGGGGAUGACGUCAAAUCAUCACGGCCCUUACGGGCUGAGCUACACACGUGCUACAAUGGUAGGUACAGAGAGCAGCCACUGGGUGACCAGGAGCGAAUCUAUAAAACCUAUCACAGUUCGGAUCGGAGUCUGCAACUCGACUCCGUGAAGCUGGAAUCGCUAGUAAUCGGAUAUCAGCCAUGAUCCGGUGAAUACGUUCCCGCCCUU
RNAcentral lists this ribosomal RNA (1345 nucleotides) under uncultured prokaryote. RNAcentral's name for it is "partial 16S ribosomal RNA". It matches the Rfam family "Bacterial small subunit ribosomal RNA", at positions 34 to 1382 of the family's 1533-position model. The record is from RNAcentral.